Molecule: ribosomal RNA, 888 nt
Filed under: Shigella flexneri 2a
Lineage: Bacteria; Pseudomonadati; Pseudomonadota; Gammaproteobacteria; Enterobacterales; Enterobacteriaceae
Description: partial 23S ribosomal RNA
Rfam family: Bacterial large subunit ribosomal RNA
Source: RNAcentral
GGUGGAUGCCUUGGCACUAAGAGCCGAAGAAAGACGUGAUAAGCUGCGAAAAGCUGCGGGGAGAUGCAAAUAAUCUUUGAUCCGCAGAUGUCUGAAUGGGGAAACCCGGUACGAAGAACUCGUAUCAUCCAUACGCCAAUCCAUAACGUAUGGAGGGGAACCCGGUGAACUGAAACAUCUAAGUAGCCGGAGGAAGAGAAAGAAACAUCGAUUUUGUUAGUAGCGGCGAGCGAAAGCGAAAGAGGCCAAACCGGAGUGCGUGCACUCCGGGGUUCGGACCGCAUUUAAGAUUCAGUGAUUCUAGCAGAAAGGUUUGGGAAAGCCUGCCGGAGAGGGUGAAAGCCCCGUAAGCGAAAGGAGAGCUGACUGAGCGGGAUCCAGAGUACAUCGAGACACGAGAAACCUUGAUGGAAUGAGCGGGGACCACCCCGUAAGCCUAAAUACUACUUAGUGACCGAUAGCGCAUAGUACUGUGAAGGAAAGGUGAAAAGGACCCCGGGAGGGGAGUGAAAGAGAACCUGAAACCCUGUGUUUACAAGCUGUGGAAGUUCUUUAAAUGAACAACCGCGUACUUUUUGUAGAACGGUCCGGCGAGUUGCGGAUACUGGCAAGGUUAAGCACUUAAGGUGCGGAGCCGAAGGGAUACCAAGUCUUAACAGGGCGUUAAGUCAGUGUACGCAGACCCGAAACCGGGUGAUCUAUCCAUGUCCAGGUUGAAGCCGCCGUAAAAGGCGAUGGAGGACCGAACCCACAUCCGUUGAAAAGGGUGGGGAUGAGGUGUGGAUAGCGGAGAAAUUCCAAUCGAACCCGGAGAUAGCUGGUUCUCCUCGAAAUAGCUUUAGGGCUAGCCUCAUACAAGUCUGCCGGAGGUAGAGCACUGAAUUCCCG